GCACAAAAAUGCAAAAAAGAUGGCACUAAAUAGACCUCAGAAAGAACACAUUUACAUUAUGAAUGCUGAGACAGGAAAGCAGAGUAUCACCAUAUUCAAUCUCAGCUAGGAAUGUACACAUCAGGUGACUCAAAUUACCACUCUUUAUAUGCCUGCAAAUGCCAAGAAAGCACCACAAACAUUGAUUUUGAGGUUCCAAUAAAUGUUAGUGAGUAGGCAAAUUUGCAAACACAGAAUGUGUGAUAAUAAAAAAUGACUGUGUACACACACUCACUUUUGCAUGUAGCAAACAUUAAAUCAUUUUUUAAAUGGGAAGAAAGAACAUUCCUUAUGCCUUUGUAGCUCAAAGGUGUGAUUGAGUUAAAUGCAUCUGCUCAUAUCAUAAAAAGGCUUGACUCCUCCUCCACUAUACCGCCUCCACAAUGAUCUCACACAGUGAUUCUAGAAGUAACCAGGGUACUGCCUCCCAAGGUUCUUUGUGCACCCUACUCGUCCUGCUGUACUUGUCCAAUCUCUCAGAGGUUGCUUUACUCACUGGUCCACAUGUGCUGUCAAGACUUCCAGAGAAGCUUCAAUACCCAAUGCUCAUUGGCAUAAGAAAGCCAUGACCAUGGCUUAUAUGCAGUUUCUGCGUUCACCUAAAAGGAUGUCAUCUUCCAGGAGCUGAUGGGCACCAUGCAUACACAAAGCUGAGUCAAUAUAAAAGUUCUAUUAACUUGAAAUGGAGAAAACACAUUUUCUUGAAAGAUGGAAAUUCCAAUGAUUGCCUGAUGGACAGAUAUCAUCAAGGAUCUCCAUUUAUUUUAGCUGAAAUUCAGAAUAUGUAUUCGAAGAUUAGCCUUAACUCCCAACAACAAAAAAACAGUCUAGUAAUAUAUCCAAGGCCAUAAGAGUGUCUGUUGCUUGCAUCCUUGGGAGUCUGGAAGGAUAAAGUCAUCAGUGCGAUGGAACAACUUCCCUGAAGAAGGGCAUGAAAAGUCACCAACACUUGCUUCUACCCGAGAGCCCUGAUCCAUUGGCCUAUGGAACUUGCUAAUUCUCAGAACCACAAUGACAAAAAUCAUAGUUGUCGUUGGCAUUCUCUUGUCCCUUUGAGUCCUCAAUCUCAAUAUAUUAAACCACCAGAUGAAGUAGUCAGGAUUGGGUCAAAUUAUGCAAGAACACGACCUACAGAGUAAUGGACAACAUUUACUUGAAUUCGUCUGGAAGUGUGUAAAGUCAGGAGGCAUCACAGAUAACCCAGUGAACUGAGGCACAUUGAAAGAACAAUGGAGGGUGGCAGGAAGACCUGAAUAAUCACCUAUGAAGAAGCAUGAUCAUAGUCAUGAACAGCUGGAAAGAAAUCCAAAGCAGAAAACAAGCAAUGUUGUCAGAAGCUGGGGAAAUGGAAAUGGUGUGGCAGUGUGAAAGGAGGAAUAAUAGGGCAAAGGAUCAGAUCGAAGGCCAAGAAUUCAGAACUCCAACAGGAACUGAAAUCCCCUUUUAUGUAUGGGCUGGUGCAAGGAGAACAUAGGACAACACAAAAGACUUAGAUCAUUAGAAUCUUGCCCAUCAAAAUCCCUUACCAUUUCACCAAAUAGAUGACUGUGGGAGAUUUCCGGAGCAUGUUUGAUUUGGGACACUGGGACUCUUAGAUCUUACUUUUCUAUAUUUAUUACUUCUUGUUCUCAGAGUUUAAAAUGAGUAGCAUCUCUUAAGAACUGAGGCUUACCACUUUUAAAAAUAUCUACGACAAUAUUUUAAUAGAGAGGGAAAAGUAAUGUGACUUUGUUUAAUACACUGAAAAGAGAAAUCCGCACAUCGUUUUGGUUUUAUUCUUCACUAUCUUCUACUGUAUUUUAAUAUUUUGACUCUCAUAUUAUUUUACAUCUGGAAUGGGAGAUGUUAAGAUGUGUCAGUAACACCCAGUUAAUUCAUUUAAUUGCUAUUAUUAAGACAAUAUUUUUCUAUAUUAAGCAACAAUUUGAAAACUAUAAGAAAAUGUGAAUUUCGUAGAAAAAUAGAAUUUAUAGAUUUUUAAAAUAUGAUAUUUUAUCAUAAGCCACCAAAUUCAAAGAGCUUAUUAUGCAAAACAUAUUUCAAGAGUUUAUCAGAGUUCUCAGAUCUAGGACAAUUUAUCAUCCCUUAUUUCGGCUCAUCACGUUUACUCCUUUUUCCUGAUACAUAAGGUAAAGGAAAUAACCAAGAACCACAAGAGUACUGUAGUUGCCAUGUCAUCAUGAAAAGAAUCACACUCAGGAAGUUCAAUAGAUGUGACUAUUUCAGUAGGCUUAGAGUUAGGAUAGGAAGGAGAAGAACCAACAGAAUUCUGCCCACUAAGGAAUCAAGAUAAGAGGCAGAAAGACAAUAGAUCCAUGCAACCCAGAAUCCCUUCCUAGCACUUGAGUUGAACCAAAGAGAAGCAGGAAGUAAGGGCAACAGUCAAUCCCUUCAUCUCCCUCUUUCUCAAAGUCUCUUUUCCUCAAACCUUUUUCCUUCCUCAAAGUUGAACCACACUUUCGUGCACCACUACUUUUAUCUCCUUGUCUCUUUAUUGUUUCAUGCACUGUGAACACUAACUCUGCUUUUUAAAAUCCCUAUCGAAAUUCAUUUUGUAAAUAUCAAUUCCAAGAUUACUGCCAAUAUGAAAGAUUGAGGUGUCUUUUGUAUUUCACUACAGCAGGGUGAGGAAAUUACAGCUGUGCUUAAAUGUUAGAGAAAAGAUGUUAUUAGCCCUAGUCAUGGUAUACUGAGAAAUACAGAGGAAGGGGAUGUAUAACCAGUUGCCAAAGAGUUACUUUAUCAUCACUUUACUUUGCUCAAAAAACAUAGACAAAGGUGACUUCAUUACCACAAAUACUUUCCUGGUCUUUUAUUUCCCUGGCUUCAAAUCCUCUUACUUGGUGUACUCACUGACCAGUCCAGGAAAUGCAGAACAAGAGCUUGACAAGCUCAGCUUCUUCGAUUUCUGUAGAAAUAAGUUGUCAGAACUUGCCAUUGUUGAGCUAGCCUCACCUGCCCAAACACCAACUUAAAUAAACUAACAGUACCUGAAACAAAAGGAAUUUCAACCAUGAGUGUUAAAUAAGCCCUGAAAAUGGCAGACACUGAUGUGUAUUGUUGCUUAGUCUGAGCAAAUAUUGAAAUGUUAUUGUAAGCCUUCAGUUUAACUUUCAAUGUGCAUACCUGAGUGUCUCCUGUGGGUGGGACAGAGUGGAGCCGGGCGAAAGGGGGCCCACACUCCUAAAAGCAGACGCUUUCCCUAAUGCUGUGUUCUUACAUUCACUACUCCUGUUCAGCCUGAUAACAUACUCGAAAAAAAAUUAAAAUGCCCAAACUUCUUUUGCUAUCAGGUACUCCAAAAGAAAUGUAAAUUAGUGUCUGUCAUAAAGUUAUGGAGAAUGAAUUAAAGUCAUUAAUGUUAACACAUUAUUCACAAAAUGUAACACUUUUUCCGAAGUAGAAACUCAAUCAAUAGAAUGCAAUAAAUCAAACAUGAUUCAGUAGGGAAAGCGACCAGUUUCUAGUUCACUUAAAAGGGACUCGGGAUAAGGCAGCAGAACAGGUUACUUCUUAACACAUUUUUCACAUUUUUCACUAAAAAUAGAUAAAAUGUCUAAUUUCAGGCUCUGAACAGAAUGUGCUUUAAUGCAAUUUCUUUGAAAAUUUCUGUUUCUUGUGCACCUCUGAAUAUAUACUCAAUGUGAAUUAAUUAUCACUGGUUCCUUAGCUUAUAUUUUAGUUACUGCAAAAAAUAAAACCUGUCCCGUUUGUCUCUUCACUAGAAAAGAGAAGGUAAUACCUAUAUCAUUAGCAUGGUCUAUGGCCCUAGAAUCAAUGUGAUAUGUGGAAAGUUUUUCAGUCAGAUUGAGUUUACAAAGAACCAUGAUGUCUUAUGUGAUUGUACCUCUGAGAUCUGUGAUACUAUUUGCUCAGUUUCUUUUGUUUUUCCUGUUAACAUUUUCAUUUCAGUGUUGCUGAUAAUAUUCUAUUAUUUCACCCUUCUUUAUGUUUCUCAUGUAUUUUCCUUUCAGUUAGUCCUGUCGAAUUAACCAAAGAAUAAAACUAUAUAAUAUAGUCUUAUUAUAAGCAGAAGAAAAUGAAGAUGAUCUGAUGAGAUAAAUCACUGAAGGUUAAUAGCUUUUUUAAAAUCAAUCUUCCUUCAAAGGAAAAGGCUAAAUAGCUUAGUGGAUGAAACGCUAGCCUCUCACCUCUGAGACCAUAGUUCAAAUCUAAACUGUGAGGCCUUAAGCAACAUCUUUGCUGGGCGGCUAUCAGUCUCUAGUGGACAAAAAUCUGCAUUGCAUGAGUUUGAGACCACUGCAAUAACCCUCCCCCUACCCACCACCAUUCCUGUCUGAGGGCCUGAUGUGUUUCUUGUUUCCAGUCCAUCUUGUCCCUUAGGAAAUGGUCCAGGUAGGAGUUCACAUGACUGUCAGGAAACUGUGAGUGUUUUCAGAGCAGCUUCCUCAAAUAGCACCAGUGCUGUGAAGUCACUGGAGGCUGCUACUUCCCGGUUCUGACCCUCAGCUGUCACCCAAAGAACCUGACCUUCCCCUCCUAUAAACAGAGUGACACCUUUUCCUGUCAAUUAACAAACUAGGACAAACAGAAUUGAUCGCUUGGCUAUUCCAGACUAGCUAAGGACUCACUUACCAGAGAGUGGUUACUCAGGUAGAGGGCAAACUUCAGUAAUGAAAAUAAAAAUAAAAACUUCCAAACAAAAUGGGGAGGCAAAAAUGCACACAUAUAUAAACUCAUAUAUAAACAUGUAUAUACCUACACCCAUAUAUACACUCAUAUAUAAAUGUGUAUAUACCUAAAAGAGUGUGUAGCAAGUUUUAACAAAUACAAGUUUGGGCCAUCGUUUGGUCGCAUGGGUAAUCCUCCAUUGCUGGCUAUUUAAAAAGCUUCUUUGUGUUUACUCCUUAGUAAUGUGUUAUCAGCAUCCUUCAAUAAUGUAGUGCACUGCAUUUUGAGUCUCCAAAAGAGAUAUACAAAGUGUUUGCAGAACACACACAUGGCACAAAUAGCUAUUAUUUAAGGAGAUUGCAGUCAGCUCGAUUUUAUGGGCAAAGAUGUGUACAUAUAAUAAUCCUACUGUAAUGUCCAACUAAAAUCAGCACUUUAUUUCACUGUUUUAUGAUGAAAUAUGUUUUGUCUGUGCAUUUUAUGCAUUGUGCAAUAACCCACUUUAAAACAGAAGCAAUGUCUAAUUUUGGAACAAUUUGGACAGGAGAUGGUAUUUGCAUACAAUGAAAUGUGUAAGAAAAGUUUUAGAAUGUUGAUGCAUCUAUGAAAUUUCCAUGUUCCUCUAAAAUUAUUUAUUAAUGAUUGUUGUUUACUGCUAAUUCAAACCACCUGCAAAUCUCUUUGUUAUGAUUAAAGCGAGCUUUUUCCCCCCAGGCUGAUAGGUGGCUCUGUAAUUUUGGAGGAAAUAUGCUAAAGGUCAUGAGUUAAUACAUCCUCUGGUACUUUCUCUUCCCAUCCUUGCUUUCCCAAAUGGGAGGAAAGCUGUGUUGUAUUAUUUCCAUGUCUUUGUAAUGUCCAUUCAAAAUGAAAUUAGAGAGUGCAUUAGAAAGAGAGUAUCUGUGUGUACACAUAGCAAAAUCCACACGUAUUCUGUAUAGUCGAUUACUAAAAUUAUACAAUUGCCUUUUGAGAAAUUUUAUACAAAAAAAUCUUUCCUUAAUAAUCUAUGAAUAUCACUGUCUGAAUCAAGUACUAUUAUCCCUUUUAAAAUUAAACUAUCCACAAAACAUGCAUUUACUUUCCGCUAUACAAAAUGCUAAUAAUGCUUUUAGAAUGGUCUUUAAAAAGUCUAAUUAUAUCAUUUAAAAACUGAGAGACCAAAGGGCAAGCUAAAUUCUCCUAACAUAAAUCAGACUUUUUUUAUUUCAAUGACUUUAAAAACCUCAAAUGCAGUAAUUUUAAUAGCAAUGAAAGAAUGAAUAAGUCAUAACUCCGCCUGAUCACAUAACUGUCUAUAACUGUUAUUAAAUGCUCCAAAAUAAGUGAACUCAUUAUGUUUCUGCACUGCUUUUAGCUAAUCUAAGAUUCUGCUCACUUAAUCAUGCAGAAAAGGCUUCAGUGCAGUUUUAGACCCUCAGCAAGGUCACUUCAAUGCCUUUUUUCUGUUCUAUACUGAUCAUUUAAGAACAGCACUUUGACCUGAAACUGAUGCUGUCUCAUAUAAGCUUGAAUGUUUAACCCCCACAGAGCUGCAUUUUAGGUAUACGUUUGCACAGCCUAUUGUCAUAUUUGCUGCAAACUGAACUAGGUUCGCUUUUCAACAGUAAAGGAAAUGCCAAUCAGAAUUUGUAAAUGCCAUGUGCCCAGUGAAACUCCCUCUCAUAUGAUACAGAGACAGAAUUUAUGAUUUUAAAAAUAUACUGUUUUGUCUGUGAAUGGUUUAUUAAGUUGUAAUUGGCUUUUAGGUGUGGUGACUAAGUAUUUUUUUUUUUUUUUUUUUUUUACUGUUUUGUCAGACCAUAUGUAAAUUUAAAGUGGAGAAUUUAUCUAGCAAAGCAAUUCUUUUGGACACAGGUUGAGGCUCUCCAUGCAGUUAAGGAGACCACGAGAGAAAGUAAGGUUCUGGUCCUUUGCCAAUUGUCCAUUGCAACAAAGGCCAAUUUCAAACUUGAAUAAUAUUCCUGCAUGUCUGUUAAGUCACAAUAUUAAAACAGAUAUUAUAGCAAGGGUCGUAACAAUUGUUCUAGAAUACGGAGACAGGGUUUCCUGUUGUUGCAAAAGGAAUCUGCAUGUGAAAAGCACUCAAGUGAAGCAGUCCUAGGUGUAGAUAAGAAGCAAAAGACAA
Chlorocebus sabaeus (green monkey) is the source of this 6796-nucleotide non-coding RNA. The record is from RefSeq and is a predicted model, not a curated record. Lineage: Eukaryota; Metazoa; Chordata; Mammalia; Primates; Cercopithecidae.